UGGGGAAUUUUGGACAAUGGGCGAAAGCCUGAUCCAGCAAUGCCGCGUGUGUGAAGAAGGCCUUCGGGUUGUAAAGCACUUUUGUCCGGAAAGAAAUGGCUCUGGUUAAUACCUGGGGUCGAUGACGGUACCGGAAGAAUAAGGACCGGCUAACUACGUGCCAGCAGCCGCGGUAAUACGUAGGGUCCAAGCGUUAAUCGGAAUUACUGGGCGUAAAGCGUGCGCAGGCGGUUGUGCAAGACCGAUGUGAAAUCCCGAGCUUAACUUGGGAAUUGCAUUGGUGACUGCACGGCUAGAGUGUGUCAGAGGGGGGUUAGAAUUCCACGUGUAGCAGUGAAAUGCGUAGAGAUGUGGAGGAAUACCGAUGGCGAAGGCAGCCCCCUGGGAUAACACUGACGCUCAUGCACGAAAGCGUGGGGAGCAAACAGGAUUAGAU
Molecule: ribosomal RNA, 436 nt
Filed under: uncultured bacterium
Lineage: Bacteria
Description: partial 16S ribosomal RNA
Rfam family: Bacterial small subunit ribosomal RNA
Source: RNAcentral